AAGUCGUAACAAGGUUUCCGUAGGUGAACCUGCGGAAGGAUCAUUAUCGAGUUUGGGUCCUUGGGGCCCCCUCUCCCACCCUUGCCAAUCUUACCAUGUUGCUUUGGCGGGCCCGUCUUCAACCGGACCGCCGGGGAGUCGUCUCCCUGGUCAGCACCCGCCAACAGCCCCACCAAAUCCUCUUGAAGCGUGAUAUCUGAGUCCCAACAAACAAUAAUCAAAACUUUCAACAACGGAUCUCUUGGUUCUGGCAUCGAUGAAGAACGCAGCGAAAUGCGAUAAGUAAUGCGAAUUGCAGAAUUCCGUGAGUCAUCGAAUCUUUGAACGCACAUUGCGCCCUUUGGUAUUCCGAAGGGCAUGCCUGUCCGAGCGUCAUUGUCCACCCUCAAGCCCGGCUUGCAGUUGGGUCGCGUUGGGCGUCGAGUGCAACGGACCUCAAAGGUAGUGGCAGAGCCUGUGGGGGCCCCGGACGCAGCGAGCUUUCCAGCACGCGUCGCGGCGGUCCUCCGGGCUCGGUCUCAACCGAUUAUUUCUCUCGUUGACCUCGGAUCAGGUAGGGAUACCCGCUGAACUUAAGCAUAUCAAUAAGCGGAGGAAAAGAAACCAACAGGGAUUGCCUCAGUAACGGCGAGUGAAGCGGCAACAGCUCAAAUUUGAAAUCUGACCUCUCUCGGGUCCGAGUUGUAAUUUGUAGAGGAUGCUUCGGGCAAGGCUGCGGUCUAAUUCCGCUUGGAACAGCGAGUCAGAGAGGGUGAGAGNCCCGUCUAGGNCCGUAANCCGCGUCCAGGUGAAGCUCCUUCGACGAGUCGAGNUGUUUGGGAANGCAGCUCUAAAUGGGGUGGUAAAUUUCAUCUAAAACUAAAUAUUGGCCAGAGGCCCGAUAGGGCACAAGUAGNGNGAUCGAAAGNUGAAAAAGCACUUUGGAAAAAGNGUUAAACAGUAUGUGAAAUUGUUGAAAGGGAAGCGCUUGCGACCAGACUCGUGAACGAUGGCUCCCCCCGCGCCCUCCGGCCGGGUCNCUCCGUCGUCUCCGGGCCAGCAUCGGUUUGGGCGGUCGGUCAAAGGCCCCGGGAAUGUAUCUACCUUCGGGUCGACUUAUAGCCCGGGGUGCAAUGCGGCCCACCCGGACCGAGGAACGCGCUUCGGCUCGGAUGCUGGCGUAAUGGCUGCAAGCGGCC
Molecule: ribosomal RNA, 1178 nt
Filed under: uncultured fungus
Lineage: Eukaryota; Fungi
Description: eukaryotic LSU rRNA
Rfam family: Eukaryotic large subunit ribosomal RNA (bases 540-1178)
Source: RNAcentral